This 498-nucleotide ribosomal RNA is filed under the name uncultured bacterium. RNAcentral's name for it is "partial 16S ribosomal RNA". It matches the Rfam family "Bacterial small subunit ribosomal RNA", at positions 30 to 523 of the family's 1533-position model. The record is from RNAcentral.
AUUGAACGCUGGCGGCAUGCCUUACACAUGCAAGUCGAGCGGUAACAGGUCUUCGGAUGCUGACGAGUGGCGAACGGGUGAGUAAUACAUCGGAACGUGCCUAGUAGUGGGGGAUAACUACUCGAAAGAGUGGCUAAUACCGCAUGAGAUCUAUGGAUGAAAGCAGGGGAUCGCAAAACCUUGUGCUACUAGAGCGGCCGAUGGCAGAUUAGGUAGUUGGUGGGAUAAAAGCUUACCAAGCCGACGAUCUGUAGCUGGUCUGAGAGGACGAUCAGCCACACUGGGACUGAGAAACGGCCCAGACUCCUACGGGAGGCAGCAGUGGGGAAUUUUGGACAAUGGGCGCAAGCCUGAUCCAGCAAUGCCGCGUGCAGGAUGAAGGCCUUCGGGUUGUAAACUGCUUUUGUACGGAACGAAAAGCCCCGGGUUAAUACCCUGGGGUCAUGACGGUACCGUAAGAAUAAGCACCGGCUAACUACGUGCCAGCCGCCGCCGUAA